GUGUCAGCAGCCGCGGUAAAACGUAGGUACCGAGCGUUAUCCGGAUUUACUGGGCGUAAAGCGUGUUCAGGCGGUCUAGCAAGUCGGGCAUGAAAUCUCUGGGCUCAACCCGGAGGGGUUGUCCGAUACUGCUGGGCUUGAGGGCAGCAGAGGGUGGUGGAAUUCCGGGUGUAGUGGUGAAAUGCGUAGAUAUCCGGAGGAACACCAGUGGCGAAGGCGGCCACCUGGGCUGUACCUGACGCUCAAACACGAAAGCUAGGGGAGCGAACGGGAUUAGAUACCCCCGUAGUCC
This 292-nucleotide ribosomal RNA is filed under the name uncultured bacterium. RNAcentral's name for it is "partial 16S ribosomal RNA". It matches the Rfam family "Bacterial small subunit ribosomal RNA", at positions 505 to 796 of the family's 1533-position model. The record is from RNAcentral.